This 329-nucleotide ribosomal RNA is filed under the name uncultured eukaryote. RNAcentral describes it as "partial 18S ribosomal RNA". It matches the Rfam family "Eukaryotic small subunit ribosomal RNA", at positions 1470 to 1796 of the family's 1831-position model. The record is from RNAcentral.
CCCUUAGAUGUUCUGGGCCGCACGCGCGCUACACUGAUGCAUUCAACGAGUCUAAAACCUGCUCUGAUAGGGGUGGGUAAUCUUUUGAAUGUGCAUCGUGAUUGGGAUAGAUGAUUGCAAUUUUUCAUCUUCAACGAGGAAUGCCUAGUAAACGCAAGUCAUCAGCUUGCAUUGAUUACGUCCCUGCCCUUUGUACACACCGCCCGUCGCUCCUACCGAUUGAAUGAUCCGAUGAAUAUCAUGGAUUGAGGAUUAUAGCAGGUUCGCCUGUCUUGAUCUUCGAGAAGUGAAGUAAAUCUUAUCAUUUAGAGGAAGGAGAAGUCAUAACA